RNAcentral lists this ribosomal RNA (253 nucleotides) under uncultured bacterium. Its description in RNAcentral is "partial 16S ribosomal RNA". It matches the Rfam family "Bacterial small subunit ribosomal RNA", at positions 524 to 776 of the family's 1533-position model. The record is from RNAcentral.
UACGAAGGGGGCUAGCGUUGUUCGGAAUUACUGGGCGUAAAGCGCACGUAGGCGGAUAUUUGAGUCAGGGGUGAAAUCCCAGAGCUCAACUCUGGAACUGCCUUUGAUACUGGGUAUCUUGAGUAUGGAAGAGGUGAGUGGAAUUCCGAGUGUAGAGGUGAAAUUCGUAGAUAUUCGGAGGAACACCAGUGGCGAAGGCGGCUCACUGGUCCAUUACUGACGCUGAGGUGCGAAAGCGUGGGGAGCAAACAGG